Molecule: long non-coding RNA, 1396 nt
Filed under: Homo sapiens (human)
Lineage: Eukaryota; Metazoa; Chordata; Mammalia; Primates; Hominidae
Description: long intergenic non-protein coding RNA 2241
Source: RNAcentral
GAGAUCUGACGGUUUUAUAAAGCGUAGUUUUCCCUGUACAAGCUCUCGCCUGCCGCCAUGUAAACGUUCUUUGCUCCUGCUUCGUCUUCUGCCGUGAUUGUGAGGCCUCCCCAGCCAUGUGGAACUACUCAUCACUCACUGCAGAUGUUACUUUAAGACAUUCUGGAGCAGCGUCAUGUGCAGGAACAAUAAGGAAGUGAGUGCUUUUGUAAUUCCUGAACAACUGUGUCUUACACUUACUAAGUUCUCUUGCCUGCCACCAUGUAAGAUAUGCUUUUACUCUUCCGCCUUCCACCGUGACUGUGAGGCCUCCCCAGCCAUGUGAAACUGCCUUUGAGCUUAUACUGAAUUAUACCACCAGCUUUCCUAGGUCUUGAAGCUUACAGACAGCAGAUCUUGGGACUUCUCAGGCACCAUAAUCAAUCAUAGAUAAAUGAUCCAAUGAUUCGGAACUUGAAAAGUGGUAGCUUUAUGAAUUCUCCUUAAGAAGAAACCUGUGCCCUGAUCUUGCCUACUCACCCAAAGGCACUGUGAGAUAGCAUCAAAGGAACAGCUAGUAAGAGACACAGAGCCAGAAAUCAGGGAAGUAAAAUACACUUGACAUCUACGUUCGGAAAGAAAUUUUAGGAGGCAGAAGCAAAUGGAUCAGAAGCUGCUUAUAUUUUUGCAAGAUUACCAAAGAAACCAUUGGUGGAGAAAGUUCUGUGACCAACUUGUCUGAGUCUAGUAAGAUUGAACGCUCACACACAAGUUUCAUGAAGUGGGUUUGAUACUUACAGAUAAGCAGCAAGGACCAACAGAAGCUGAUGAUCUAUGGUGAACUUUUUCCCAAGGCUCCGGAAAGCUGCCUAAAGUAGAUGGAGUCUUCUCUGUGUGUGCCCCACUGGUCCUGCAGUUGAAGGAUCCGGUAAAGCAGCCUGCCCUUGGUUUUAUACUCCAGAGGAACGUGAUUCGCUGGACUAAAGCAUUGAAGUGCAUCCUGUUUCCGGGGGGCACUGGAACAGAGCCUGGUCUGUUCUAGCCAGUCCCUUUCUAUCUCAGGAUAACAUUCUACAGUUAUUCUUGAGAACUAUAAUCAAAUAAGCAGGGAGAACUGGAGGCUCAUUGUGGAACCCUCAAGGAGCAUGGGGUCGUCUUCAUCCCUCAGUUUAUAAAUGGCCAAGGAGAGUAAUGCAACAAAAACUUCUCAGAGUUAAAAGCCAGAGUUCCUAAAGAACCGUGGACAAAGGGUUCUGUCUAGUGGGCAGAAUUCAUCCAGCGAAGGAAAUUUGGAACCCAGGUUUUCCCAACCUACAUCUACAAAAUGGAAUGGGUCUGAUUCGCAAGUUUUCAGAGAAAGAAGCCAACCUUAAUCAGACUGUGAUAUGAUGAGGAAAUAAAACUUGCUGUGCUAAUC